GCACAAGCAGCGGAGCAUGUGGUUUAAUUCGAAGCCACGCGAAGAACCUUACCAGGUCUUGACAUCCAGUAAAACUUGUAGAGAUAUAAGGUGUGCUUGCACAUACUGAGACAGGUGGUGCAUGGUUGUCGUCAGCUCGUGUCGUGAGAUGUUGGGUUAAGUCCCGCAACGAGCGCAACCCUUGUGAUCAGUUACUAACGGGUAAAGCCGAGGACUCUGAUAAGACUGCCGGGGACAACUCGGAGGAAGGUGGGGACGACGUCAAAUCAUCAUGCCCCUUAUGACCUGGGCUACACACGUGCUACAAUGGCCACUACAGAGAGAAGCGAAUUCGAGAGGAAGAGCGGAUCUCAAAAAAGUGGUCCCAGUUCGGAUUGUGGGCUGCAACCCGCCCACAUGAAGUCGGAGUUGCUAGUAAUCGCGGAUCAGCAUGCCGCGGUGAAUACGUUCCCGGGCCUUGUACACACCGCCCGUCACACCAUGGGAGUUGAUAGCACCCGAAGUCGGCGAGGUAACCGCAAGGAGCCAGCCGCCGAAGGUGAGAUCAAUGACUGGGGUG
Molecule: ribosomal RNA, 559 nt
Filed under: uncultured bacterium
Lineage: Bacteria
Description: bacterial SSU rRNA
Rfam family: Bacterial small subunit ribosomal RNA
Source: RNAcentral